ACCAUGUUCUCUGUUUCUGUGCUGCUGCUGCUGGCAGCUGCUUCCUAUGUGCAUGGUCUUGAACUCAGCCAGCCAGGCUCAAUGGUUGUGAAGCCAGGAGAGAUUCUGACUCUCACCUGUAAGGUGUCUGGCUAUUCUGUCAGUGACAAUAGUGCCAGCUAUGCAACUGGAUGGAUUCGACAACCUGCAGGGAAAGCACUGGAGUGGAUUUUCAACAUAUGGGAUGACGGAGAUACCUACAAAAAUAAUGCACUAACAAACAAGUUCAGUAUCUCUAGAGACACCCUCAGCAACUCAGUAACUCUAAAAGGACAGAAUCUGCAGACUGAGGACACAGCAGUAUAUUACUGUGCUCGCCACCCUCCACAUGGAUACAAACCUACAGCAGACAUGUACAUAAACCCUCUCCUCACUAGAUAGAGAUGAAUAUGUGUAAACCUGGAGGGGGCGAUCUUAAUCAAAGAAAACUUUAAAUAAAAUGCCAUUGACUGUAGAAACGUAGAGGACACUGGGGAGUGACAACAGGGAAUGU
Molecule: non-coding RNA, 532 nt
Organism: Osmerus eperlanus (European smelt)
Lineage: Eukaryota; Metazoa; Chordata; Actinopteri; Osmeriformes; Osmeridae
Source: the annotation of a RefSeq genome assembly